Solanum lycopersicum (tomato) is the source of this 6488-nucleotide long non-coding RNA. RefSeq lists it as uncharacterized. Lineage: Eukaryota; Viridiplantae; Streptophyta; Magnoliopsida; Solanales; Solanaceae. The record is from RefSeq and is a predicted model, not a curated record.
UAAUCGCGCCCUCAUUUCCCAAAAUUUUCCUCUCUCUUCAGACGCUCCAUGUACUGCUACAAUGACUACAGAAAUUCCAAAAGAACACGCGCCGCUGCGCUGGCGCAUGCGCCACCGGUGGACCUUCAAAGACCGCACGACCAAAGCCAAAUGGGGCGCAUGAAGAUGGCAACAAACUCCAAUAUGGCACGCACCAUGAUUCAUCUCUAAAUUCGUCGAAUUCGCAAGAUACAGACGCGAUGAAUGCUGCAUUUUCGGAGAUGGAGUUCGAUCGAGCACGAGAAAAUAUUUCCCAAGACGUGAUGGCUUGGAAUCAAGGAAAAAUGGUUGAAGAUAUCGAUUCUACCACUCCUGAUAUACACCCUACCAAAAAAUCAAUUCAUUCCAUCGUCCCAAUUGAGAGAAAUCAAGAGGCGAUUUUCGAAUGAAUCGCGAAUGAGCCACCAGAAAUCCUUACUCAAUUUCGAACAACUUCGAGCCAAAAUCGUAAUGAAUUAAGUACUGGGGUUUCUUCCCCUGAUGAAGGCGCCCAUCUCACAAAAAUUUCAGUUGAAACGGAGGAAUCACCGGCGGAGGGAAUUCCGGUGAAACUCGAGUUCUAACCACCGGAAACCAUGGAAAAUCGACGACGGGAACUAAUUUGCAAGCUAUUGAUAGACAUUUUAAUGUAGGAAACACAACUAACACUUCUUCAAUUCAUUACAAGCAAGGAAGGGCAUGAAAAUGAAGAAACUGAGUCGAGUGCUAGUCAAAGUGCAGGUCGCUCAGCUGAAGCAAUAGCAAUCAUCAAUGGAAACAAAGUUCAACAUGGGAAACAAUUAACUGAUGCCACCAGGAACAAAGCAACUUCUUCAGCUGAUGCUCAAUCAGCCAAUUUCUCCUUUGGCAUUACAGAUAACUCCUGUGACCUAACUCCUAACUUUAAUUCUGAUAAUUUGCAGAUCAUACCAUGUCAAGAGAACAGAGGUGAGGAAUAUGGGCAAAGGCAACCUCAAAACAAGAAACAAUCAAUUCAGCAGCAACAACCUCCAAACAAGGAUUUGCAACAACAAAGAAAGGUAUACAAUUGCAAUUCUGGUAUUUCGCAGGUACUACCAAAUCAGGAGAACAUUGGUGAGGAAUAUGGGCAAAGGCAAGCUCAAAAGAAUGAGCAAUCAACUCAGCACCAGCAGCUUCCAAGCAAAGAUUUGCAGCAACAAAGAAAUGCUCACAAUGAGAAUGGAACGGAACAUGAAAAAAAAAUAAAAGACAACAAAAAGACCAGCUUAAGGAUAACAGUCAACAAUAAGUAACAAAUUCUUCUUAUCAAGCCAAUAAAGUAAACAUGGAUUAUCAACACGACUUCCCAAAGAUCUCCAACAACUUCACUAGGUAUGGUCCUAACUCUCAACUAGAUAGAAACAAUAAACAGGGUAACAAUGUGGAGCAAGGAAAUGCUAGACCUCCUAUCAGUCACCAACAGGGGCAAAACACAAGUAAUAAUGCUAAACAGGACAAGGCUAGUGAACCUGCUCCAUACACUGUAGUUCAAUCCUUUGCAGCCCGCUUGAGGUAUAAUCAAUCUAAGAAUGAGAUUCCAAUUGUGUUGAAUGACCCCAUACAUACAACUAGACAAGGGUACCCUGCUGUGCUCUUAGAUGAGCAUGACUAUUAUGUGAAAUUAGCUGAAUGUUGUAAAUAUACGCUUGUGGGGAAAUUCACCAAUACAAUGCCUAAAAUGGAGUUGGUUAGAAAGAGUUUCACCCUUCAAACUCAACUUACUGGGUGUGUGUGUGUGAAGAUUACUCACUUUAACUCUAGGCAUGUGUAUAUUGAUCUAGAUAAUGAAUUCGACUAUCAAACUGUUUGGACAAAAUUGAGGAUGACUAUUGAAGGGCAUUUGAUGAGAAUUCAAGCUUGGACCCCUGAUUUUACCCCCGAGGAAUAAACACCUAUUGUUCCUAUUUGGGUUGUAGUGCCAGGAUUACCAUGGCAUUGUUAUAAUAAAGUUCUUUUGACUACUAUCUUGGAAUCUGUUGGGAAUGUUUUAUAUCUUGAUUACCCAACUUCUUAAAGGACUAGAGGUAGCACAACAAGGGUGAAAGUUCAAGUUGAUCUCACUAAAAAAAGAAAAGGCCUGAACAUGUAUGGUUGGGUUUCAAAAAUUCUGACCCCAACAAGGGGAGAUGGUUGAAGGUUCAAUAUGAAGGUAUCCCCGACUAUUGUAUGUAUUGUAAACAUCAAGGGCAUAUGGAUUAUGAUUGCACUGUAAAAAGAAGAGAUGAAGAUGUGAACAGGAUGAAAGAAAUGGAGUCUGAAAAAAACAACAAGAAGUCAAAAGGAGAUCAGCAACAAGGUGGAGAUGGAAUAGAGGAAAAUGUUAAGCAAAUUCAUAAAGGAAACCACCAAGAUGGAAAACAGCAAGAGACAAGAAAUCAGGGUCAGAGAAAUUAUGAUCAACAACUUUCAGAAAAUGAGGAGCAGUGGCAGACACAAAGAAGAAACAAUCAAAGAAUUUGGAGCAAGCUCAACCCAAAACAGCAUGGAGAGCACGUUCACCAUAACACAAGGAAAUCAGUGAUAAUAGGCAGCGGGCAGCAGGAACAGGCUGUUCAAGAGCUACAUGUGGACACAUCAGGAAAAGAAGGUGCUGCUGACAGUAAUAUCCAACAAAUCCAAGAGCCAAAUACUGCCUCACCAUCAACAACUCAAUGAACCAAUGUCCAAGAGCUGCAGAUAGACAUUUCAGAAAAGAAAGGUGAUGCAGACAAAAUACCCAACAAAAUCAAGAAACUAAUAUUGUUUCACCAUCAACAACUCAAAGAAAAAAGGUGAAGCAACAUCAAACACAAGACACACAUGCUAAUAAGAACAAGAGAACAAGUAUUGACUUAUCUCUCCCCAUACCCCAGCAACCCACAAUAACUGUUGUUGAAAAUGUUUUGAUUGUUGGGUUGGUUGUUGAAGUUGAUGGAGGUAUGAAUGGGGGGUGUCAGGAGAAGCUUACUAAUCUGUAGGAAGGGGUGUCCAAAGGGGAAAAAAAAAUUCUGGAAUUUGAUCACAAUGACCAUAGGAGAGAACUUAGAGCCUCAGAAAGUAAGUCUCCAAACUCCAGCAAUCAGGAAUUUCAGAAAAUUUUCAGUCAAAGGCAAAGAUAUGAAUCUGAUCAGAAUUUGGAAAGAGCUGAAAAUCAAGAAACAGGGGGUAAAAAUACUGCUGGUGGUCAACAUCAGCCUACUGGUAAUUCUGAGGAUCAGCAGCAGCAGGGUGAUAAAAUUCCUGUCGAAAAACAAAACAAUAGAUCACAAGGCAGACCUAGCAAAAAGAAAAGAGAAGCAAUUAAAAGAAGAAAUCAAAGAGAGGUAGGUCUGCAGGGUGUUAAUGAGCAGGUUCAAAGAGAAAAUAAGUCUCCAAAACAGUACCAUGGGAACUCAAAUUAUGAAGUAAUAAAUUCAGAAGAUGAAUUUAAUGAGGAUACUCAUUCUUCAAAUGAGAAGAAGGGAGAAGAGGAUGGGGAUGAAAAUAGCGCGCACUUGAUCAAGGCAUUUGGUUCUACAAUCCAAAGUGAGUUUGAAUCUGAAAUCCAUGAAGCCACUAACCAAUAAGGUUUAUCUCCAAGGGGCAGAAAGGAAGUCAGACAAUACAACAACACCAUUACAACAAGCACAUCUGCUAAUACUAGCAGACCCAACACCAGGUCCCGAAUGAUCAAUACAAUAUGUUGGAAUGCUAGGAGCAUCAACGCCCAAUGAUCUUUGGAAAGACUUCAAAAUCUCAAGAAAAUGCAUAAUUUCUCUAUGAUAGCUAUUCUUGAACCAUUUGCAGAUAAUUCUCAACUCAACAAGUACAAGCUUCUUUUGUCUAUGGAUAAUGCUCUUUGUAAUGGUAAUGGCAAAAAUUUGGCUGUUUUGGACCAAUAAUAUGGAGUGUGAUACUUUGGAAAUUCAUGAUCAACAUAUCACUUGUUGGGCCAAACAUGUUGGACACAGUGAGAAAUUUAUUAUUUCUCUUAUUUAUGCUAAGUGUAAGGAACACCUACGAAGACCUCUUUGGGAAAGACUUUAUCAUAUUUCCAAUAUGGACAGCCCAUGGUGCACGAUUGGAGACUUUAACGUCAUUACAUCAACAGAUGAAAAAUAUGGUGGCAUGCCCUAUAAUAUGAACAAAAUCCUGGAAUUUAUUGAUAUCAUUGAGGCUUGUGGUAUCAUGGACAUAGGCUUCAGUGGUCAACAUUACACUUGGUGUAAUCAAAGAUCCGGUGAAGCAAGAGUGUGGAAAAGAUUGGACCGAGCUAUGGUCAAUGAUACAUGGUUGUGAUGUAUGUUACAAACUACUACCUCUCACCUUCCUGCUGUAGGCUCGGAUCAUUGCCCAUUAUUAAUGGAAAUGGAGGUGAGAAUAGACGAAAAAGUCAAACACUUCAAGUUUUUGCACUGUUGGCCUGAAAAUGAAAAAUUCAACGAUAUUGUGCAAAGCUCUUGGCAAGAGGAAGUAAGUGGUGACCCUAUGAGGAAACUCUAUUAGAAAACAAAGAAAUUGACUUCUACUUUGAGUAAUUGGUCUAAGAGUGAAUAUGGCAACAUCUUUUCCAUGGUUAUAGAUUUUGAAGAACAAGUUAAAAUGCGAAGGAGAGGGUAAUACAUAAUAAUUCAGAGGAGAACAAAGUCAAGCUUCAUCUUAUUAAUGCUCAAUACAUCAAAUAAAUGAAGUUGGAAGCUUCCAUUCUCAAGCAAAAAACUCAGCUCCAAUGGUUCAAAUAAGGGGAUACCAAUUCCAAAUACUUUCACUCCAUUAUGAGGGGAAGGAGGAGGAAGUUGUUUAUCCACAAGGUUUGCACAAAUGAUGAUACUUGCAUACAGGGAGAUGAGAACAUUGCCAAAGAAGCUUGUAGGUACUUUAAAAAUAUUUUCACUGGGAAAUCAGACAGAAUCAGUGAGGAAGUUCUCAACUGUGUUCCCCGGAUGGUUACAAAUAAACAGAACCAACUUCUUCGACAAAUGCCUAAUAUGGAGGAAUUAAAACAAGUUGUUUUCUCCAUGAAUCCUAACUCUGCUCUAGGUUCGGAUGGGUUUGGAAGGAAAUUUUAUCAGUCAUGUUGGGAUAUUAUUAAGGAAGAUGUUCUAAAAGUUGUGCGACAUUUUUACUGUGGAAAUAUUAUGCCUAAAUAUUUUUCACAUGCUUGUCUUUUCCUUCUUCCGAAGAUUGAUCAUCCUAACAAAUUUUCAGAGUUCAUACCCAUCAGCUUGAGUAACUUCUCCAACAAAAUCAUUUCCAAGAUUCUUUGUUUCAGAUUAGCAGGCAUUCUGCCUCAGUUUAUUUCUGAGAAUCAGUCGGGAUUUGUUAAGGGAAGAAGUAUUUCGGAAAACAUUAUGUUUGCUCAAGAGAUCACUGCACAUUAUCAAACAAACCAAUGAAGGUGACAAUGUGGUAAUUAAACUCGAUAUGACCAACGCAUACCAUAGAGUGUCAUGGUCGUAUACUUGUUUGGUUUUGCGAAGAAUGGGUUUUUGUGAGAUUUUUAUUGACCUUGUGUGGAGAAUAAUGAGCAACAACUGGUAUUCUGUUAUUAUUAAUGGGUCCAGGCAUGGUUGUUUAAAGUCAGUAAGGGGUCUCAAACAGGGUGAUCCAUUAUCUCCGUCCUUAUUUAUUUUAAGGGCGGAGGUGCUAUCUCAGAUGCUUAAUAUGCUUCAUCAACAACAGAAUUACAAGAAUUUUCAAAUGGAAAGUAGAGACCCACAGAUUAAUCAUCUCAACUUUGCGGAUGAUAUCAUUAUCUUCUCUUCCACCACUAGAGAUACUCUUCAUAUGAUCAUGAAAACUCUUGCCACAUAUGAGUCUGUUUCAGAUCAACUCAUAAACAAAGACAAGAGUCAUUUCAUGGUCCCUUCGAAAUCUCCUACAGAGGUCAUCAAUUUAAUUGGAGAGAUAACAGGUUUCACUCAGAAAAAAAGCCCCAUUACCUACCUAGGGUGCCCCCUAUUCAUGGGUGUGAAGUGCACCACAUGUAAAGAGAGGAAGGCUUUGAAGUGUUUUAGGAAAAAACAUUAUUUUUCUUGUUACUCUUAUUGUGUGUAAGGUAUAAUCAAAUUCCAUUCUAACUUGACGUUGUGCGCUUAAGAUCAUGCCUUCUUGUAGAGCUUAGGCAUGUAAUUCUAAUGCACGCAAUGCUAACGGAGUUCCUCUAAUACCAGAUAAGGAAGUUCAAAUGCAAAGUUUCAGAAUGCCAAUUCAGCUUUUGGCUCAGAGUAUGACCAACCAGAACAAUCAGCAGGUUCUAGUUCCUACUAAAAGAAAUGACCGAUUAGUGGCAGCCAGAGUUUGUUAUUUUGUUAGGAUGAAAUCCACCUAUGUUUUUAGGGUCGCAAGUUGGUAAUGACCCAUAGAAGUUCAUUGAUAAGGUCAAGAAAUUAUUUGAAAUAAAGUCAGUAACUGGUAGUGAUAGGUGAGAUUGGCAUCCUUCAAACUCAAGGAUGUGAAUCACAUAUGCUUCACUCAAUGGAAAGACAAAA